RNAcentral lists this ribosomal RNA (402 nucleotides) under uncultured Bacillota bacterium. RNAcentral's name for it is "bacterial SSU rRNA". It matches the Rfam family "Bacterial small subunit ribosomal RNA", at positions 958 to 1361 of the family's 1533-position model. The record is from RNAcentral. Lineage: Bacteria; Bacillati; Bacillota.
AACGAGAAGAACCUUACCAGGUCUUGACAUCCUCUGAAAACCCUAGAGAUAGGGCUUUUCCUUCGGGAGCAGAGUGACAGGUGGUGCAUGGUUGUCGUCAGCUCGUGUCGUGAGAUGUUGGGUUAAGUCCCGCAACGAGCGCAACCCUUGAUCUUAGUUGCCAUCAUUAAGUUGGGCACUCUAAGGUGACUGCCGGUGACAAACCGGAGGAAGGUGGGGAUGACGUCAAAUCAUCAUGCCCCUUAUGACCUGGGCUACACACGUGCUACAAUGGACGGUACAAAGAGCUGCAAGACCGCGAGGUGGAGCUAAUCUCAUAAAACCGUUCUCAGUUCGGAUUGUAGGCUGCAACUCGCCUACAUGAAGCUGGAAUCGCUAGUAAUCGCGGAUCAGCAUGCCGCG